This 329-nucleotide ribosomal RNA is filed under the name uncultured eukaryote. Its description in RNAcentral is "partial 18S ribosomal RNA". It matches the Rfam family "Eukaryotic small subunit ribosomal RNA", at positions 1470 to 1796 of the family's 1831-position model. The record is from RNAcentral.
CCCUUAGAUGUUCUGGGCCGCACGCGCGCUACACUGAUGCAUUCAACGAGUCUAAAACCUGCUCUGAUAGGGGUGGGUAAUCUUUUGAAUGUGCAUCGUGAUUGGGAUAGAUGAUUGCAAUUUUUCAUCUUCAACGAGGAAUGCCUAGUAAACGCAAGUCAUCAGCUUGCAUUGAUUACGUCCCUGCCCUUUGUACACACCGCCUGUCGCUCCUACCGAUUGAAUGAUCCGAUGAAUAUCAUGGAUUGAGGAUGCAAGUAGGUUCGCCUAUCUUCAUCUUCGAGAAGUGAAGUAAAUCUUAUCAUUUAGAGGAAGGAGAAGUCGUAACA